UGUGGGUGAAGGGGAGAAGAAAAGAAAGCACACUGCCAUGUGUGUACCUACGCAACUGUCUUGCAUGCUCUGCUCAUGUACCCCAAAACCUAUAAUCCAAUAAAAAAUUAAAAAAAAAAAUGUAAUCUGUACCUGUUUAACAGUAUUUGGAGCAGAAGUAAAUGAGGCAAACUGUGCCAGUUUAUGUCCUCCAAGAAGCAGAUGCUAAGACAGAGUUAGACACGUGAAAGGUUUCUGGAGGAGAGUACCUGUGAAAGAUGAAAAGGAAUGGAGCAGCAAGAACCUGGGGAACUGCACUGUCUCACAGGAGAUGGGGUUUCGCCCCAUUGCCCAGGCUGGUCUCUAACUCCUGAGCUCAAGAGAUCCACCUGCCUUGGCCUCCCAAAGUGCUGGAAUUACAGGAGAAUGCAAUCAAGCUCACGUGCAAAUGCAGGAGAUGACGCUUUCUCUGAGAAUGAUCCUUUUGUGAAAAAGCAGAGUGAUUGCAAAGGGGUGGGGAGAGAUUUAGAUGCCGCGGUUUGUGAUGAAGCAAUCAGUGCUGGUAAGAAGGUGAUAACGAAAGUUAUUUUUUAAAGGUACGUUAAAAUGUAACAACCAUUUUUGGUUUACUUCUGAAUUGUCAUUUGCUCUGUGUGUGUUGACAGUAAACCUCCAAAGAAGGAAAAAUGCUUGUGCCACAGGUGAGAAGCCCCACUAAGUGAGUCCCCCUCCAUAAAGACCGGGAUUAUUCUGUAAACCCACAAGAGCUUUCUUAGUCAUUCAAACACUCUAAAUAAAAAUGCAUAUGGUGGGUUUUUUUUGCCUGUGUACAUUUUCCACAAAUUUUCAAUCUGUCAAUAUGUGUUUUACUCUCUAAAUAAGACAGUACAAUUAAUGAAUAGCUAUGAGUGUAUUAUUUGAAAAUCUAUCAGGCUCCAUCACUUACAGCUGGCAGUGUGGACGUGGGUAAGUUAUGUAAUCUUUCUAAGCCUCAGUGUCUUCAACUGUACAUUAGAAUGUUUAUAUACAUUUAGAAACUGUAGUACUUAAACCAUGUUAUUGUGAGAAUUACUUGAGAUAGUGCUUGUAAAUUUUCAAGAUUGUGACUAUCAUAUACUAAGUGCUUACAUCUUAGCUUGAGAAUCAAGGUGACAUACUGGCCUUCCAGUCAAACUUUCUACCUGUUAUUCUUGUAAUGAAACUUCCAGACAGACAGACAGGCACGUACUGCCAGCCUGGCUGCUUGUCCCCAUCUCAGUGUCUGGAUUGGCCUCCUCUUUUCCUCCUUAUACAAAUGACUCAUCCUUCACAGCUGAGCUAAGUUCACCACCUCCCUGAAGCUUGCUACCCCUAACCUCUGUUUCACAGGGCUCCUCCUCUCCUGGAGCUGGUGAGAGGUCAAGUACGGAUUCCUGAUCUGGAAAACGGUGCAAGUCUGAAGAGGAGAAGUUUCAGAUAGAGCCAGGCAGGUUGGUACAAUGCUCGUCUCUUUGGGGAAUGUUUCUUGGGGAGGAAUGUGUGAAUUUACACUUCAAAAAUUCUGUAAAGUCAAAACUCUCUUUUUCUUGGCAUUUGAACUUAUCUCAAGUUAGAGGAAACUUCAUGUUGGUCACAUGUGUUACAUUCAGGAUUACUGGUCAUUUUACAUUUUGUGAUCCUAUGUGUCACCUAAUGCACUUGUCAUCUUUUGGCUUUUCAAUAUCAACUCUCUUUUCCUAACACCAUUUCAAGUACUGUUAGAGGAAUCUCCUGUUCUGUAGCCUUGGUGAUAGUGUCCAGGAGCACGGGAAAUAGGUUUAGACAGACGCGUUUUUGUUGGAACUUCGGUCUUGACAGAAAGACCUGAAGUUGGUUAGGGCCCCUCCUUCACAGCAGUAGUGGUGGUCGUGUGCGAACCAGACAUCCUGUGGGCCAUUCUGCACUUUGACUGCGAGGGCCCAGCCUUCAGGACCUCUCCUGCCCCAUCGUGGUUCCCAAACCUGAUCCUGCUGCUUCCUGUUCACUCUGCAACACCAGAUAGUUGAAUAAUUUCUCUUUUUUUCCCCUUAAAAUGUACAGAUUUAGUUUCUUUCACUUAUGCAAAAGGACUUUGAUAGUCCACUGUGGAAAGUAGUUUGCAGAUUUCUCAAAGAACGUAAAGCAACUACCAUUCAGCCUGGAAAUCCCAUUACUGGUUAUAUGUCCAAAAGAAAUCAUUCUACCAAAAAGACACAUGCAAUCACAUGUACAUUGCAGCACUAUUCACGAUAGAAAAGACAUAGAACCAACCUAGGUGCCCAUCAACAGUGGACUGGUGUAAGAAAAUGUGGUAUAUAUACACUGUGGAAUACUUCACAGCCAUAAAAAAGAAUGAUGUCAUGUCUUUUGCAGCAACAUGAAUGCAGCUGGAGGCUUUUACUCUAAGUGAAUUCACACAGGAGCAAAAAAACCAAAUAUCACAUGUUCUCACUUAUAAGGGGGAGCUAUAUUUUGGGUACUCAUGGAUCUGAAUAUGGCAACAAUAGAAACUGGAGGCCUCUCAAGUCAGGAAGGAGGGAGUGGGGGAAGGGUGGAAAAACCAACUAUUGGGUACUAUGCUUAGUACCUGGGUGAUGGGAUGAUUUGUACCCCAAUAUACCCUGGUAACAAACCCGCAUCUGCACAUAGAACUCCUGAAUCUAAAAUAAAAGAUGAAACAAAAGAACUUUGGCUGAUAAGAAUGAUAGUAAUCAUAAUUACCAUUGUUUUUAUAGCAAGAAGCUUACAAUUACUGAGCCCAUUCAAUAUGCCGAGCACUAUUCCAAGUGUUUGACAUGUAUUAACUCCCUCAUCCCCAUAAUCAUCGAGGUAGGCACUAUUGUCAUUAUCCUGAUUUCCAGAUGAAAGAAGCUGAAAUGCAGAGAGAUUUCUCAGGUUCAUGUAGCUAAUAAAUAGCCAAGUCAGGAUUUGAA
Molecule: long non-coding RNA, 2909 nt
Organism: Callithrix jacchus (white-tufted-ear marmoset)
Lineage: Eukaryota; Metazoa; Chordata; Mammalia; Primates; Cebidae
Source: RefSeq, a predicted model, not a curated record